This 253-nucleotide ribosomal RNA is filed under the name uncultured bacterium. RNAcentral describes it as "partial 16S ribosomal RNA". It matches the Rfam family "Bacterial small subunit ribosomal RNA", at positions 524 to 776 of the family's 1533-position model. The record is from RNAcentral.
UACGUAGGGACCAAGCGUUGUUCGGAUUUACUGGGCGUAAAGAGCGCGCAGGCGGUCGAUCAAGUCGAGUGUGAAAGCCCCCGGCUCAACUGGGGAGGGUCAUUCGAUACUGAUCGACUCGAAGGCAGGAGAGGGUAGUGGAAUUCCCGGUGUAGUGGUGAAAUGCGUAGAUAUCGGGAGGAACACCAGUGGCGAAGGCGACUACCUGGCCUGUUCUUGACGCUGAGGCGAGAAAGCUAGGGGAGCAAACGGG